AGAAUCAACGCUGGCGGCGUGCCUAACACAUGCAAGCCGAACGAGAAAGUGGAGCAAUCCAUGAGUAAAGUGGCGACCGGGUGAGUAACACGUGACUAACCUACCUUCGAGUGGGGGAUAACCUCGGGAAACCGAGGCUAAUACCGCAUAACGUCGCAAGAUCAAAGCAGCAAUGCGCUGGAAGAGGGGGUCGCGGCUGAUUAGCUAGUUGGCGGGUAACGCCCGCCAAGGCGAAGAUCGGUA
This 243-nucleotide ribosomal RNA is filed under the name uncultured bacterium. RNAcentral describes it as "partial small subunit ribosomal RNA". It matches the Rfam family "Bacterial small subunit ribosomal RNA", at positions 26 to 285 of the family's 1533-position model. The record is from RNAcentral.